This 355-nucleotide unclassified non-coding RNA is filed under the name soil metagenome. Its description in RNAcentral is "partial contains 5.8S ribosomal RNA, internal transcribed spacer 2, and large subunit ribosomal RNA". The stretch from base 1 to 120 matches the Rfam family "5.8S ribosomal RNA", at positions 35 to 154 of the family's 154-position model. The record is from RNAcentral.
GAUGAAGAACGCAGCGAAAUGCGAUAAGUAAUGUGAAUUGCAGAAUUCCGUGAAUCAUCGAAUCUUUGAACGCAUAUUGCGCCCUCUGGUAUUCCGGGGGGCAUGCCUGUCCGAGCGUCAUUAUCACCACUCAAGCCCGGCUUGCUGUUGGUGGCAGCGCAGCCGGUCAACCGGCUACGCUCCACCCAAAGAUAAUGACGGCGUCUGCGAGGACUCCUGUACAUUGAGCUUUCGGGCACGUACAUGGCUAGAAGUCCAGGCGCCGGUCGACGUCCUCCGGGACACUUUUUACCAAGGUUGACCUCGGAUCAGGUAGGGAUACCCGCUGAACUUAAGCAUAUCAAUAAGCGGAGGA